AUCUACUCUCUGCCAUUUGGCUUAGAUCAAGAUGUAGUAUCUGUUCUUAGAAGAGUGAUAUCUUCUAUCCGUUCUACGUGUUCGGAAGUUUAUAUCAUAAUAUUUUUGCAUUUGCUCAGCUUGUUUCCUGACUUGUCAGAACAGCUGGGAUUUAGUGGCUGGGUAUUACACUGUCUCCCAGGCGCUUCAAAUUCC
RNAcentral lists this small nuclear RNA (195 nucleotides) under Dactylellina haptotyla CBS 200.50. RNAcentral's name for it is "U2 spliceosomal RNA". It matches the Rfam family "U2 spliceosomal RNA". Rfam says of the family: U2 is a small nuclear RNA (snRNA) component of the spliceosome (involved in pre-mRNA splicing). Complementary binding between U2 snRNA (in an area lying towards the 5' end but 3' to hairpin I) and the branchpoint sequence (BPS) of the intron results the bulging out of an unpaired adenosine, on the BPS, which initiates a nucleophilic attack at the intronic 5' splice site, thus starting the first of two transesterification reactions that mediate splicing. The record is from Rfam by way of RNAcentral. Lineage: Eukaryota; Fungi; Ascomycota; Orbiliomycetes; Orbiliales; Orbiliaceae.